Molecule: long non-coding RNA, 915 nt
Filed under: Mytilus galloprovincialis (Mediterranean mussel)
Lineage: Eukaryota; Metazoa; Mollusca; Bivalvia; Mytilida; Mytilidae
Source: RNAcentral
CUGACUGGUGGGAUGUAUAAAUACCGAGCCGCGUCAAAGAGUAUUCAUCAAAAUACACAUAAAAAGAAACAGAGGUGAAAAUAAACCGCAAACAGAUAAUUAAACUAAAAAAUUUAAAGAGUAUGACAAAGCCAUGGUGCGAAUCGAAAACAUCGAUAAGACGCACAUCUAACCAGGAUCGAGUAACAAACCCCACAUAAAACCUCUGUGGUGUAAGUAUGACGCGUUAAGAAAAUCACAUUUGGUGUUAAAUGAGUAGUAUAAACGGCCGUGAAGGUUACAAAUAUGAUGUUAAUUGUCUUCUAAUUGUUGAAAUUAUAAUUCUUAAAAUCAAAAGUUUCACAUCUGAAAAUAAAGUUACGGACAGUCUGCUUAGUUUCAAUUAAAAAGUUACGGAUGUCUUGUGCAUUUUUAAAAGUUGGCCUUGCGCUUUAGUGAACUCUAUAUUAACAAAUUUAUGGUAAUUGUUAGUUAUUUCUUUAUUCAAUAAUUCUAUAAAUAUUUACAUUCUGUAUGAUAAACGUAUCAAAAGGUACAUUUUGUAUGAAUUAAAUAUCAACGAGUUUAGAGUCCGCCAUCUUGGGCUGUGGGUAACUUAAGUUACCCACAGCCGUUUAAGCACAGUGAUAAUCUUAUUUAGCAACCAUGUUAAAACAAUUCAUUCACACCAAGGCUAAUAUAUUAUUCUUCGCAUUUCUCUUUAACUUCACACGAGCCAAACAAUUUCAAACACAAUCCAAUCCUGACAAUAAAUAUUAAAUUUACAAUUUAAAGAAAAUACCCAAUAUGAAAUAUAUUUUUUUAAUGUCAAUAACUGUUAAUUCAGAAAUUAUUGUGAAAAAUGCAACAGGGUAAUAAUCGCAAUAAUUAAAACUCGCAUUUUGAAACUUUUUAAAUGAAUUAAACCGGAUUUUU